UACGUAGGGUGCGAGCGUUGUCCGGAAUUACUGGGCGUAAAGAGCUCGUAGGUGGUUUGUCGCGUUGUCCGUGAAAACUCACAACUCAAUUGUGGGCGUGCGGGCGAUACGGGCAGACUGGAGUACUGCAGGGGAGACUGGAAUUCCUGGUGUAGCGGUGGAAUGCGCAGAUAUCAGGAGGAACACCGGUGGCGAAGGCGGCCUUCUGGACAGUGACUGACGCUGAGACGCGAAAGCGUGGGGAGCAAACAGG
RNAcentral lists this ribosomal RNA (253 nucleotides) under uncultured bacterium. Its description in RNAcentral is "partial 16S ribosomal RNA". It matches the Rfam family "Bacterial small subunit ribosomal RNA", at positions 524 to 776 of the family's 1533-position model. The record is from RNAcentral.